AAAAUGAAAUUGAAAUGAAAGAUAAUAAUAAAAUAUUGAAGAGAGAGAAGAAUAUAAAAAAUUUGGGGGAAUGGUUGGAGUAAGUUAUCCCUAAAAUGGGGAUUUCCCAUUUUGAGGACAAAAAAUGGGGGCAAGGUUGGAGAUGGCCUAAAGCAGUCAGUCCUUCCCCUUCCUUCUUCCCGAUAUAUCCUCACUCCUAGUGAUUAAGGGUAAAGGUCUUUUACCAAAGAAAAUAAGAAAAAGGGAAAAACUGUGAGAUGCCAAAGCUUCUUAACCCCACAAAAGGAUAAAUUAUUUUCAGCAAACCUGAGGAAGAAGGAGGCGACGGAGAAAUAGGAGGAGGUGGAGCAGCUGGAGGAAUAUCCAAUGGAUUAUUAGCAAAACUGA
Molecule: long non-coding RNA, 387 nt
Filed under: Nicotiana benthamiana
Lineage: Eukaryota; Viridiplantae; Streptophyta; Magnoliopsida; Solanales; Solanaceae
Description: long non-coding RNA (NBEN_LNC012258)
Source: RNAcentral